CCUACGGGAGGCAGCAGUGAGGAAUAUUGGUCAAUGGGCGGGAGCCUGAACCAGCCAAGUCGCGUGAGGGAAGACGGUCCUAUGGAUUGUAAACCUCUUUAGGCGGGGAGCAAUGCCGGGCACGCGUGCCCGGAGGGAGAGUACCCGCAGAAUAAGCAUCGGCUAACUCCGUGCCAGCAGCCGCGGUAAUACGGAGGAUGCGAGCGUUAUCCGGAUGUAUUGGGUUAAAAGGGUGCGUAGGCGAAUUUUUAAGUCAGCGGUAAAAUGUCCGGGCUCAACCCGGGCCGGCCGUUGAAACUGGGGAUCUUGAGUGGGCGAGAAGUAUGCGGAAUGCGUGGUGUAGCGGUGAAAUGCAUAGAUAUCACGCAGAACUCCGAUUGCGAAGGCAGCAUACCGGCGCCCGACUGACGCUGAGGCACGAAAGCGUGGGGAUCGAACAGGAUUAGAUACCCUGGUAGUC
This 460-nucleotide ribosomal RNA is filed under the name uncultured bacterium. RNAcentral describes it as "partial 16S ribosomal RNA". It matches the Rfam family "Bacterial small subunit ribosomal RNA", at positions 338 to 795 of the family's 1533-position model. The record is from RNAcentral.